AUGCAUGUAUAAGUAUAAACGACUUGAUCGUGAAACCGCGAACGGCUCAUUAUAACAGCUAUAAUUUACUUGACCUUGACAAUUUACUUGGAUAACUGUGGUAAUUCUAGAGCUAAUACAUGCACCAAAGCUCCGACUUCGGGAAGAGCGCAUUUAUUAGAACAAAACCAGGCGGCUUCGGCCGUACUCUGCUGACUCAGAAUAACUAAGCUGAUCGCAUGGUCUUGAACCGGCGACGUGUCUUUCAAGUAUCUGCCUUAUCAACUUUCGAUGGUAGUGUAUCUGACUACCAUGGUGGUGACGGGUAACGGAGGAUAAGGGUUCGACUCCGGAGAAGGGGCCUGAGAAAUGGCCACUACGUCUAAGGAUGGCAGCAGGCGCGCAAAUUACCCACUCUCAGAACGAGGAGGUAGUGACGAGAAAUAACGAGAUCGUUCUCUUUCGAGGCCGAUCAUCGGAAUGGGUACAAUUUAAACCCUUUAACGAGUAUCUACGAGAGGGCAAGUCUGGUGCCAGCAGCCGCGGUAAUUCCAGCUCUCGAAAUGCAUAGAAUUAUUGCUGCGGUUAAAAAGCUCGUAGUUGGAUCUGUGCUAGCCGAUCGGUCCACCUUCGGGUGUGUACUGAUUUGGCUGGCUUUCUAGCUGGUUUUUCUCCUAGUGGGCUUCACUGUUCGCUUGGAGUGACUAGCAAGUUUACUUUGAACAAAUCAGAGUGCUUCAAACAGGCGUUUCGCUUGAAUGUUCGUGCAUGGAAUAAUAGAAGAGGAUUUCGGUUCUAUUUUAUUGGUUUUAUAGACUGAGAUAAUGGUUAACAGAGACAAACGGGGGCAUUCGUAUUGCUGCGUGAGAGGUGAAAUUCUUGGACCGUAGCAAGACGAACUACAGCGAAAGCAUUUGCCAAGAAUGUCUUCAUUAAUCAAGAACGAAAGUCAGAGGUUCGAAGGCGAUCAGAUACCGCCCUAGUUCUGACCGUAAACGAUGCCAACUAGCGAUCCGCCGGUGGUUUUUUUGCCCUGGUGGGGAGCUUCCCGGAAACGAAAGUCUUCCGGUUCCGGGGGAAGUAUGGUUGCAAAGCUGAAACUUAAAGGAAUUGACGGAAGGGCACCACCAGGAGUGGAGCCUGCGGCUUAAUUUGACUCAACACGGGGAAACUCACCCGGCCCGGACACCGUAAGGAUUGACAGAUUGAUAGCUUUUUCAUGAUUCGGUGGAUGGUGGUGCAUGGCCGUUCUUAGUUCGUGGAGCGAUUUGUCUGGUUUAUUCCGAUAACGAGCGAGACUCUAGCCUACUAACUAGUCCACACAUUGUCACUGUGUGCGCGACUUCUUAGAGGGAUUUUCGGUGUACAGCCGCACGAAAUUGAGCAAUAACAGGUCUGUGAUGCCCUUAGAUGUCCGGGGCUGCACGCGCGCUACACUGGCAAAAUCAGCGUGCUUGUCCUUCCCCGAAAGGGGUAGGUAAACCCUUGAAAAUUUGCCGUGAUUGGGAUCGGAAAUUGCAAUUAUUUUCCGUGAACGAGGAAUUCCAAGUAAGUGCGAGUCAUCAACUCGCGUUGAUUACGUCCCUGCCCUUUGUACACACCGCCCGUCGCUGCCCGGGACUGAGCCAUUUCGAGAAACUUGGGGAUUGUUGGUUUAGCGGUUUUCGGAUCGCUUCAUCGAUGAGAACCAAUUUAAUCGCAGUGGCUUGAACCGGGCAAAAGUCGUAACAAGGUGGCUGUAGGUGAACCUGCAGCUGGAUCAA
Molecule: ribosomal RNA, 1742 nt
Filed under: Belonolaimus sp. 1T28F12
Lineage: Eukaryota; Metazoa; Nematoda; Chromadorea; Rhabditida; Belonolaimidae
Also listed under: 1 other name
Description: SSU rRNA
Rfam family: Eukaryotic small subunit ribosomal RNA
Source: RNAcentral